This 434-nucleotide ribosomal RNA is filed under the name uncultured bacterium. Its description in RNAcentral is "bacterial SSU rRNA". It matches the Rfam family "Bacterial small subunit ribosomal RNA", at positions 28 to 478 of the family's 1533-position model. The record is from RNAcentral.
GAUGAACGCUGGCGGCGUGCCUAACACAUGCAAGUCGAACGGGAUAAGAGAUGCUUGCAUUUCUUAUCAAGUGGCGGACGGGUGAGUAACGCGUGGAUAAUCUGCCCUACACAGGGGGAUAACAGCCGGAAACGGCUGCUAAUACCGCAUAGACUGAGCUCUCGCAUGAGAGAACAGGGAAAGAUUUAUCGGUGUAGGAUGAAUCCGCGUCCGAUUAGCUAGUUGGAGGGGUAACGGCCCACCAAGGCGACGAUCGGUAGCCGGCCUGAGAGGGCGACCGGCCACAUUGGGACUGAGACACGGCCCAGACUCCUGCGGGAGGCAGCAGUGGGGAAUAUUGCACAAUGGGGGGAACCCUGAUGCAGCGACGCCGCGUGAGUGAAGAAGUAUUUCGGUAUGUAAAGCUCUAUCAGCAGGGACGAAGAUGACGGUAC